UGAGGAAUAUUGGUCAAUGGGCGGGAGCCUGAACCAGCCAAGCCGCGUGAGGGAGGAAGGCCCUAUGGGUCGUAAACCUCUUUUGUCAGGGAACAAAAGCGAGUAUGUAUACUAGCCUGAGUGUACCUGAAGAAAAACGCAUCGGCUAACUCCGUGCCAGCAGCCGCGGUAAUACGGAGGAUGCGAGCGUUAUCCGGAUUUAUUGGGUUUAAAGGGUGCGUAGGCGGCGGUGCAAGUCAGCGGUAAAAGCCCGGGGCUCAACCCCGGCGAGCCGUUGAAACUGCAGUGCUAGAGAAGGCGAGAGGUACGCGGAAUGCGCAGUGUAGCGGUGAAAUGCUUAGAUAUUGCGCAGAACUCCGAUUGCGAAGGCAGCGUACUGGCGCCUGACUGACGCUGAGGCACGAAAGCGUGGGGAUCGAACAGGAUUAGAUACC
RNAcentral lists this ribosomal RNA (434 nucleotides) under uncultured bacterium. RNAcentral's name for it is "bacterial SSU rRNA". It matches the Rfam family "Bacterial small subunit ribosomal RNA", at positions 355 to 786 of the family's 1533-position model. The record is from RNAcentral.